This 1657-nucleotide long non-coding RNA is filed under the name Chrysolophus pictus (golden pheasant). RNAcentral describes it as "lncRNA (ENSCPIG00010005154.1)". Lineage: Eukaryota; Metazoa; Chordata; Aves; Galliformes; Phasianidae. The record is from RNAcentral.
AAUCAUACAGGCUUAUACUGGCUUAUACUGGGAUCACACUGGCUUAUGCUGGGUUGUACUGGGGUCAUACUGGUUUAUACUGGCUUAUACUGGGAUCAUACUGGGUUAUACUGGUUUAUACUGGGAUCACACUGGUUUAUACUGGGAUAUACUGGGUCAUACUGGGAUCAUACUGGGAUCACACUGGCUUAUACUGGUUUAUACUGGGAUCACACUGGCUUAUACUGGGUUUUACUGGGAUAUACAGCCUUACACUGGGAUCAUACUGGCUUAUACUGGUUUAUACUGGGAUCGUACUGGUUUAUACUGGUUCCUACUGGGAUGACAGCAGCAGCAAACCUCAGAAUUCUGAUUCAAAACCACCAUUUAAGUUAAAAACUCCCAAUUUUGGCCCCAUUUGGGUCCAAAUCCCCCAUUUUUGGGAGUGGGGAAAAAAAAACGCACUUUUUUUGAAGGGCCCCAUUUUGCCCUUUUUUGCCCUUUUUUCCCCCAAAACGCUGAGUCACCGCGGCGCCCAUUUUGAGGAAGAAAGCCUGGAAAUGACGAGUGCAAAAAAACGGAACUUUGGGGGCAGAAUUUGGGAACAAAAACUGCAUUUCUGUCAGCAAAACCGGGCAGGAAAUGCAUUCAUCCCGACGAUGCGUUUUCCAGCACUUUCAAUUUUGCCCGAUUUCGCUCUUUUUCACCCCAAAAUUUCCAUCGGAACAAAACGCGGGGUUUUUGUCAGAGCCCCAAAUGCCCCAAAUUUCGGGUUUUUCCCUCAAAAAAAAUCCUCAAAAAUUGAAAUUGACCAAAAUAUCUCCGUUUGUUGAUCCGUCGGUAUCCAAAAUUGCUCAUUUUUGACACCAAAAUCCCCAAAUUUGGGGUUUUUACCCCAUUUUGAGGCUCCUCUCCAUCCCAAUAAUAAGACAAAGAUCCACGUGUCCCAUUUUGCCCAUUUUUGCCCUUUUUUCCCCCAAAAUCCAUCCAGGAUUUUCUCCUCACAUCACCUCGCUCCGCAUCACAAAAUUGCCCAAAUUUGGGGUUUUUCCCUCAAAAAAAAUCCUCAAAAAUUGAAAUUCACCAAAAUAUCUCCGUUUGUUGAUCCGUCGUCACCCAAAAUUGCUCAUUUUUGACACCAAAAUCCCCAAAUUUGGGGUUUUUACCCCAUUUUGAGGCUCCUCUCCAUCCCAAUAAUAAGACAAAGAUCCACGUGUCCCAUUUUGCCCAUUUUUGCCCUUUUUUCCCCCAAAAUCCCUGCGAUCUCCUCCUCACAAACCACCUCGCUCCGCAUCACAAAAUUGACCAAAUUUGGGUUUUUCCCUCAAAAAAAAUGCUCAAAAAUUGAAAUUGACCAAAAUAUCCCCGUUUUUUGAUCUGUCGUCGCCCAAAAUUGCUCAUUUUUGACACCAAAAUCCCCAAAUUUGGGGUUUUUUACCCCAUUUUGAGACCUCACCACGUCCCAACAAUGACACCAAGCUCCGUUUUGCCCAUUUUUGCCCUUUUUUCCCCCAAAAUCCCUCCAGGAUUUCCUCACACACCACCUCACUCCGCAUCACAAAAUUGCCCAAAUUUGCGCUUUUUCCCCCGAAACAAAAGUCUCCAAAAAGCCCCAAAUCCCCCCAAAACGCCCCAUUCUCCUCUCCCAUCACCCUUCACCCAUCCAACACCCAAAAAA